Molecule: ribosomal RNA, 480 nt
Filed under: uncultured bacterium
Lineage: Bacteria
Description: bacterial SSU rRNA
Rfam family: Bacterial small subunit ribosomal RNA
Source: RNAcentral
GCUUAACACAUGCAAGUCGAACGAGGCCAAUGAAAGCUUGCUUUUGAGGCCGAGUGGCAAACGGGUGAGUAACGCGUGGGCAACCUGCCCAGGGGAGGGGGACAACACCGCGAAAGCGGUGCUAAUACCCCAUGACAUCAUGGAGCCGCAUGGCUCCAUGAUGAAAGACGGUCAUGCCGUCGCCCCUGGAUGGGCCCGCGUCCGAUUAGCUGGUUGGCGGUGCAGGGGACCACCAAGGCGACGAUCGGUAGCCGGUCUGAGAGGAUGAACGGCCACAUUGGGACUGAGGCACGGCCCAGACUCCUACGGGAGGCAGCAGUGGGGAAUCUUCCGCAAUGGGCGAAAGCCUGACGGAGCAACGCCGCGUGAGCGAGAAGGCCUUAGGGUUGUAAAGCUCUGCUGUCGGGGACGAGGGCGGAGGCGAGGAAAUGCGCCUCCGUGGACGGUACCUGACAAGGAAGCCGCGGCUAACUACGUGCC